Molecule: unclassified non-coding RNA, 223 nt
Filed under: uncultured Thelephorales
Lineage: Eukaryota; Fungi; Basidiomycota; Agaricomycetes; Thelephorales
Description: sequence contains ITS2
Source: RNAcentral
ACACCUCAACUCUUCAUGGUUUUUCUGUGAUGAGCUUGGACUUUGGGGGUUUUGCCGGCCUAUGGUCAGCUCCUCUAAAAUGAAUCAGCUUGCCGGUGUUUGGUGGGCAUCACGGGUGUGAUAACUAUCUACGCUUGUGGUUUUCCACCAGGUAACCUUCAGCAGUGGAGGUUCGCUGGAGCUCACAGAUGUCUCUCCUCAGUGAGGAUGGGGCCCUUUGAAU